GUCGGGAAUAUUGCGCAAUGGAGGAAACUCUGACGCAGUGACGCCGCGUAUAGGAUGAAGGUUUUCGGAUUGUAAACUAUUGUCAACAGGGAAGAAAAAGACAGUACCUGAAGAGGAAGCCCCGGCUAACUAUGUGCCAGCAGCCGCGGUAAUACAUAGGGGGCGAGCGUUAUCCGGAUUUAUUGGGUGUAAAGGGUGCGUAGACGGGAAGGCAAGUUAGUUGUGAAAUCCCUCGGCUUAACUGAAGAACUGCAACUAAAACUAUCUUUCUUGAGUGCGGGAGAGGAAAGUGGAAUUCCUAGUGUAGCGGUGAAAUGCGUAGAUAUUAGGAGGAACACCAGUGGCGAAGGCGACUUUCUGGACCGUAACUGACGUUGAGGCACGAAAGUGUGGGGAGCAAACAGGA
This 406-nucleotide ribosomal RNA is filed under the name uncultured bacterium. RNAcentral describes it as "bacterial SSU rRNA". It matches the Rfam family "Bacterial small subunit ribosomal RNA", at positions 354 to 777 of the family's 1533-position model. The record is from RNAcentral.